GCUAUUUUGGCAGAUAAGUGCGGUGGAUUUAGAAUCUAUUUAUGCGUCUUUUUUUUGGCGCUUGUAGUA
Molecule: transfer RNA, 69 nt
Filed under: Cryptotermes cavifrons
Lineage: Eukaryota; Metazoa; Arthropoda; Insecta; Blattodea; Kalotermitidae
Description: tRNA-Leu
Source: RNAcentral